This 253-nucleotide ribosomal RNA is filed under the name uncultured bacterium. Its description in RNAcentral is "partial 16S ribosomal RNA". It matches the Rfam family "Bacterial small subunit ribosomal RNA", at positions 524 to 776 of the family's 1533-position model. The record is from RNAcentral.
UACGGAGGGUGCAAGCGUUGUCCGGAAUCACUGGGCGUAAAGGGCGCGUAGGCGGCUCAUGAAGGCUGUGGUGAAAGUCCGGGGCUCAACCCCGGGCCUGCAGUCGAUACGGGCAGACUAGAGUGCGGUAGGGGAGACUGGAAUUCCUGGUGUAGCGGUGGAAUGCGCAGAUAUCAGGAGGAACACCGAUGGCGAAGGCAGAUCUCUGGGCCGUAACUGACGCUCAGGCACGAAAGCGUGGGGAGCAAACAGG